UUCGGGGUUAGUGGCGCACGGGUGCGUAACGCGUGGGAAUCUGCCCUUUGCUUCGGAAUAACAGUUAGAAAUGACUGCUAAUACCGGAUGAUGUCUUCGGACCAAAGAUUUAUCGGCAAGGGAUGAGCCCGCGUAGGAUUAGGUAGUUGGUGGGGUAAAGGCCUACCAAGCCGACGAUCCUUAGCUGGUCUGAGAGGAUGAUCAGCCACACUGGGACUGAGACACGGCCCAGACUCCUACGGGAGGCAGCAGUGGGGAAUAUUGGACAAUGGGCGCAAGCCUGAUCCAGCAAUGCCGCGUGAGUGAUGAAGGCCUUCGGGUCGUAAAGCUCUUUUACCAGGGAUGAUAAUGACAGUACCUGGAGAAUAAGCUCCGGCUAACUCCGUGCCAGCAGCCGCGGUAAUACGGAGGGAGCUAGCGUUGUUCGGAAUUACUGGGCGUAAAGCGCACGUAGGCGGCGACACAAGUCAGAGGUGAAGCCCGGGGCUCAACCCCGGAACUGCCUUUGAAACUAGGUUGCUAGAAUCUUGGAGAGGUCAGUGGAAUUCCGAGUGUAGAGGUGAAAUUCGUAGAUAUUCGGAAGAACACCAGUGGCGAAGGCGACUGACUGGACAA
This 615-nucleotide ribosomal RNA is filed under the name uncultured Alphaproteobacteria bacterium. RNAcentral's name for it is "bacterial SSU rRNA". It matches the Rfam family "Bacterial small subunit ribosomal RNA", at positions 85 to 736 of the family's 1533-position model. The record is from RNAcentral. Lineage: Bacteria; Pseudomonadati; Pseudomonadota; Alphaproteobacteria.